GGCCUUUCGGGGUACACGAGCGGCGAACGGGUGAGUAACACGUGGGUGAUCUGCCCUGCACUCUGGGAUAAGCUUGGGAAACUGGGUCUAAUACCGGAUAUGACCACAGCAUGCAUGUGUUGUGGUGGAAAGAUUUAUCGGUGCAGGAUGGGCCCGCGGCCUAUCAGCUUGUUGGUGGGGUAAUGGCCUACCAAGGCGACGACGGGUAGCCGACCUGAGAGGGUGACCGGCCACACUGGGACUGAGACACGGCCCAGACUCCUACGGGAGGCAGCAGUGGGGAAUAUUGCACAAUGGGCGGAAGCCUGAUGCAGCGACGCCGCGUGAGGGAUGAAGGCCUUCGGGUUGUAAACCUCUUUCAGCAGGGACGAAGCGUGAGUGACGGUACCUGCAGAAGAAGCACCGGCUAACUACGUGCCAGCAGCCGCGGUAAUACGUAGGGUGCGAGCGUUGUCCGGAAUUACUGGGCGUAAAGAGUUCGUAGGCGGUUUGUCGCGUCGUUUGUGAAAACCCGGGGCUCAACUUCGGGCUUGCAGGCGAUACGGGCAGACUUGAGUGUUUCAGGGGAGACUGGAAUUCCUGGUGUAGCGGUGAAAUGCGCAGAUAUCAGGAGGAACACCGGUGGCGAAGGCGGGUCUCUGGGAAACAACUGACGCUGAGGAACGAAAGCGUGGGUAGCAAACAGGAUUAGAUACCCUGGUAGUCCACGCCGU
RNAcentral lists this ribosomal RNA (713 nucleotides) under Rhodococcoides fascians. Its description in RNAcentral is "bacterial SSU rRNA". It matches the Rfam family "Bacterial small subunit ribosomal RNA", at positions 74 to 803 of the family's 1533-position model. The record is from RNAcentral. Lineage: Bacteria; Bacillati; Actinomycetota; Actinomycetes; Mycobacteriales; Nocardiaceae.